This 112-nucleotide non-coding RNA is filed under the name Chloropicon primus. The record is from RNAcentral. Lineage: Eukaryota; Viridiplantae; Chlorophyta; Chloropicophyceae; Chloropicales; Chloropicaceae.
ACCACCAUCAUCACCAUCGGUCGCACGCCGCGCCGCCACCACCACCACCACCACCGUUACCACCCGUCGUCUCCGUCGUCACCAUCACCUCUCCUCCUCCACCCCAUCAUCA